RNAcentral lists this ribosomal RNA (279 nucleotides) under uncultured bacterium. Its description in RNAcentral is "partial 16S ribosomal RNA". It matches the Rfam family "Bacterial small subunit ribosomal RNA", at positions 506 to 784 of the family's 1533-position model. The record is from RNAcentral.
UGCCAGCCGCCGCGGUAAUACAGAGGGUGCAAGCGUUAAUCGGAAUUACUGGGCGUAAAGCGUACGUAGGCGGAUGUUUAAGUCAGAUGUGAAAGCCCUGGGCUCAACCUAGGAAUUGCAUCUGAUACUGGGCAUCUAGAGUAUGGUAGAGGAUAGUGGAAUUUCUGGUGUAGCGGUGAAAUGCGUAGAUAUCAGAAGGAACACCAGUGGCGAAGGCGACUGUCUGGGCCAAUACUGACGCUGAGGUACGAAAGCGUGGGUAGCGAACAGGAUUAGAUA